GCUGCUUGUUUGGAGGGUGUGCUGUAUAGCUGGAGAUCUCCUUUAGUCUUCUUCACCAGCUGGGUGUCAUAUCUAUGAAGACUUCAGAAAAGAAAUACAUGAGCAAAGUUACUACAAUUCAUGUGGGUAGGAGAGAGAAGUGAUUUGCAGCGGAUUACACUGAAAACACUCCAGGUCUCAUUGAGCUCUGAGGUCACAGUUAUUUACCUGAUAAGCAGAUUUUAGCCCAGCACGGAAGUGAGGAAGAAUACAAACAAACAAAGCCUAGAGAAAGUUAAGAUCUAUGUAACUAAUGAACUCAUCACAGGGUAAUAACCAUAUACAGGAUUCCAAUAUUAUGCAAAUACAUCUGAACAAUCGCAGAUCAGAUUUCAGAUGGAAGAUGCUAAACUGAAGAAUUUAGCAACAAAACAGAGUCAUUACUUCUAUUGCAGAGGAAACCAAGAACUUAGCUCACAGGUCUGCAUCAAUAUAAUUCAUGUCAAUCAUUUUGCUUGAGGAAAGCAGACUUCAGUGUGAAUCAUUUUUACUGAUGAUUACACAAGCAUUCCUCCCAAGAGUAGGAGAGUCUCCCCCACAACUUCACUCGUUGCACCAUAGUGCACUAUACGCAAAUGGUCCUCUAGUAUUGCAUCAGUAUUUUCCUGCACCAAUUUAUAUUUAUUGAAAACUGUUUACCUCUAAGUCAUCUUGCUUAGUUCUACAGAUCAAAUCAGACAAGAUCUGACCAGAUGACCUUUCCUUUUCAGUAGAAACAUUUGAUUCUUCAUGCAAAACUACUGUUUAUAUUCUAGCAGUCUCCCCAGGAUUGGUCAACUGGCAAGGCAGCAUCCAUGUGACUCAGAAAGAGCUGACAAUGUUAGUGGAAAUUAUAGCAUGGAGAUUUU
RNAcentral lists this long non-coding RNA (887 nucleotides) under Gallus gallus (chicken). Lineage: Eukaryota; Metazoa; Chordata; Aves; Galliformes; Phasianidae. The record is from RNAcentral.